CCACAGGGAUAACUGGCUUGUGGCAGCCA
RNAcentral lists this non-coding RNA (29 nucleotides) under Arabidopsis thaliana (thale cress). The record is from RNAcentral. RNAcentral also lists the same sequence under 2 other names. Lineage: Eukaryota; Viridiplantae; Streptophyta; Magnoliopsida; Brassicales; Brassicaceae.